RNAcentral lists this ribosomal RNA (1503 nucleotides) under uncultured bacterium. RNAcentral describes it as "bacterial SSU rRNA". It matches the Rfam family "Bacterial small subunit ribosomal RNA". The record is from RNAcentral.
AGAGUUUGAUCAUGGCUCAGAUUGAACGCUGGCGGCAGGCCUAACACAUGCAAGUCGAACGGUAACAGGAAGCAGCUUGCUGCUUCGCUGACGAGUGGCGGACGGGUGAGUAAUGUCUGGGAAGCUGCCUGAUGGAGGGGGAUAACUACUGGAAACGGUGGCUAAUACCGCAUAAUGUCGCAAGACCAAAGAGGGGGACCUUCGGGCCUCUUGCCAUCGGAUGUGCCCAGAUGGGAUUAGCUUGUUGGUGGGGUAACGGCUCACCAAGGCGACGAUCCCUAGCUGGUCUGAGAGGAUGACCAGCCACACUGGAACUGAGACACGGUCCAGACUCCUACGGGAGGCAGCAGUGGGGAAUAUUGCACAAUGGGCGCAAGCCUGAUGCAGCCAUGCCGCGUGUAUGAAGAAGGCCUUCGGGUUGUAAAGUACUUUCAGCGGGGAGGAAGGGAGUAAAGUUAAUACCUUUGCUCAUUGACGUUACCCGCAGAAGAAGCACCGGCUAACUCCGUGCCAGCAGCCGCGGUAAUACGGAGGGUGCAAGCGUUAAUCGGAAUUACUGGGCGUAAAGCGCACGCAGGCGGUUUGUUAAGUCAGAUGUGAAAUCCCCGGGCUCAACCUGGGAACUGCAUCUGAUACUGGCAAGCUUGAGUCUCGUAGAGGGGGGUAGAAUUCCAGGUGUAACGGUGAAAUGCGUAGAGAUCUGGAGGAAUACCGGUGGCGAAGGCGGCCCCCUGGACGAAGACUGACGCUCAGGUGCGAAAGCGUGGGGAGCAAACAGGAUUAGAUACCCUGGUAGUCCACGCCGUAAACGAUGUCGACUUGGAGGUUGUGCCCUUGAGGCGUGGCUUCCGGAGCUAACGCGUUAAGUCGACCGCCUGGGGAGUACGGCCGCAAGGUUAAAACUCAAAUGAAUUGACGGGGGCCCGCACAAGCGGUGGAGCAUGUGGUUUAAUUCGAUGCAACGCGAAGAACCUUACCUGGUCUUGACAUCCACGGAAGUUUUCAGAGAUGAGAAUGUGCCUUCGGGAACCGUGAGACAGGUGCUGCAUGGCUGUCGUCAGCUCGUGUUGUGAAAUGUUGGGUUAAGUCCCGCAACGAGCGCAACCCUUAUCCUUUGUUGCCAGCGGUCCGGCCGGGAACUCAAAGGAGACUGCCAGUGAUAAACUGGAGGAAGGUGGGGAUGACGUCAAGUCAUCAUGGCCCUUACGACCAGGGCUACACACGUGCUACAAUGGCGCAUACAAAGAGAAGCGACCUCGCGAGAGCAAGCGGACCUCAUAAAGUGCGUCGUAGUCCGGAUUGGAGUCUGCAACUCGACUCCAUGAAGUCGGAAUCGCUAGUAAUCGUGGAUCAGAAUGCCACGGUGAAUACGUUCCCGGGCCUUGUACACACCGCCCGUCACACCAUGGGAGUGGGUUGCAAAAGAAGUAGGUAGCUUAACCUUCGGGAGGGCGCUUACCACUUUGUGAUUCAUGACUGGGGUGAAGUCGUAACAAGGUAACC